CGUUGUGUAGUAUAUUGUAGUACAAAAGGUUGUAACUCUUUAGGAACUAGCUUAAGUCGCAAUGA
This 65-nucleotide transfer RNA is filed under the name Saccostrea mordax (small rock oyster). Its description in RNAcentral is "tRNA-Tyr". RNAcentral also lists the same sequence under 1 other name. Lineage: Eukaryota; Metazoa; Mollusca; Bivalvia; Ostreida; Ostreidae. The record is from RNAcentral.